This 914-nucleotide ribosomal RNA is filed under the name uncultured bacterium. Its description in RNAcentral is "bacterial SSU rRNA". It matches the Rfam family "Bacterial small subunit ribosomal RNA", at positions 8 to 916 of the family's 1533-position model. The record is from RNAcentral.
AGAGUUUGAUCAUGGCUCAGGAUGAACGCUAGCGGCAGGCUUAACACNUNCAAGUCGNGGGGUAACAGGAUUUAGUUUACUAGAUUGCUGACGACCGGCGCACGGGUGAGUAACGCGUAUACAAUUUACCUUAUACAGGGGAAUAGCCUUUAGAAAUGAAGAUUAAUGCCCCAUGGUAUUAUAGACAGGCAUCUGUUUAUGAUUAAAGAUUUAUCGGUAUAAGAUGAGUAUGCGUCCUAUUAGUUAGUUGGUGAGGUAACGGCUCACCAAGACUUCGAUAGGUAGGGGUCCUGAGAGGGAGAUCCCCCACACUGGUACUGAGACACGGACCAGACUCCUACGGGAGGCAGCAGUGAGGAAUAUUGGGCAAUGGAGGCAACUCUGACCCAGCCAUGCCGCGUGCAGGAAGACUGCCCUAUGGGUUGUAAACUGCUUUUAUAGAGGAAGAAACCCGUCCACGUGUGGACGGCUGACGGUACUCUACGAAUAAGGACCGGCUAACUCCGUGCCAGCAGCCGCGGUAAUACGGAGGGUCCAAGCGUUAUCCGGAAUCAUUGGGUUUAAAGGGUCCGUAGGCGGGCAAUUAAGUCAGAGGUGAAAUCCCACAGCUCAACUGUGGAACUGCCUUUGAUACUGGUUGUCUUGAGUAACAUUGAAGUAGAUAGAAUAUGUAGUGUAGCGGUGAAAUGCAUAGAUAUUACAUAGAAUACCGAUUGCGAAGGCAGUCUACUAAGUGUUUACUGACGCUGAUGGACGAAGGCGUGGGGAGCGAACAGGAUUAGAUACCCUGGUAGUCCACGCCGUAAACGAUGGUCACUAGUUGUUGGGUUUUAGGAUUCAGUGAUUAAGAGAAAUUGAUAAGUGACCCACCUGGGGAGUACGAUCGCAAGAUUGAAACUCAAAUGAAUUGACGG